GCGUCCUACAUGGUUUAAGGUUUGAUGCUUGCUGCUCAUGUAGAUGAAUAUUUAAUUAUUUAUAUCACUGAAUUUCUGAUGACUUUUUAUCAGAAGUUAGUUUAAUUAAUAAUUAGGCACUACGUACUGCUUAAACUCUAUUUCCUUUCAGCUGACUUAAAUUACAAGAUGUUGGGCAUUUUCUUCCAUGAAGCUACUCUUGAAUUUGAUAUAAUCUGCAGCCGUAAUUUAAGAGCUGAAGAACAACAUUGAUUUUGCUAUCUAACAAGUAUGUAUUGUUAUUUUUCUACAUUGAUUUCGUUGGAUGGUUUUCUUUAUCAUGCCUGUUAGCUUUUCAUGCCAUUUUGCAUGCUAAAUAUUAAAUGUGACAGCGAAGUAAUAGUGGGCAUUUGUUGUUAUUUGUUAAUGUUAAUACUGGACAGAGCAUGGUUCUGUUGUGGAAGAACCCUUAUGUACAAAAUUAGCUUGUUAGUCUUUUUAAUGGGGCACACUUAUAUCGUUGUUUCUCAAUUUCUCAUCAAGCUGUUGAUUGCAUAUGGUGAUACUGGUGCAAAGGCUGCCCUAAAGGAUGAGCAUGUAUUUGGAUCAGUAAAAUGUCACGUGUUGUAUUUUUUCUCUUUUUUUUAUCAAACUAGCCAGUUCCUAUCUAACAAAAGAGGAAGAACAGCAAUAGACAUACACCGUUUUUAUUUUACUAAAAUGUCUGCCAUCGAAGCAUGUUAGAACUAAAAAUAUGUUUUGUUAACAAUUUGUGCUUUACCCAAAUUUAUACUUUUUGUUCAUGCCUUGCAGAGCAUUUACCUUCUAUAACAAAUAAUGGUCAUCGAGUUCUUAGAGCAAAGUAUAUGCCGUGAUUGCUAUGCAUCAAAAUCAUUUAGCUAGGGUUAAGGUUUCAGAAAAAAAAACUUUUUAUUGACAAUGAACCUGAUCAAAUGUAAGCACAUAAUGGAAUAUCUUUAUGCAGAGGAAUUAUUUUUCCUGCUAGAGGGAAUUAUGGUCUUAGGGCUUAACAUAAUUGCUUAUUGUGUAAUUCUACAGAUUGAAACGUAAGCUUGUAGAUGCUUGAGCAUGGGAGGCAGCAUGGAUUUCUCUAUAAGGGUGUCAGACACCACCUUGAGGUGAGCACACACAUUUACCAGCAUUCUUAUCUUCACCGUGGGACCAAUUCUGAUGCAUGCCAAUAGUAGAGAAAGGUGGGAUCAUGAGAGAAUGGAGUGGGUAAGCAUGUUGUGUGGUGAAGAGUUCGUGACUCCUUGCACUCAUGAGAGAAAGGAGUGGGUAAGCAUAGCGUGUACUUACUAAAGAGUCUGUGUCUCCAUGGGGGUAUAUGGACAAAGUGUGUGCAUAUUCCUUGUAGAUUUUCCAAUGAAUUUUUCCAAGAUAUUUUGCACAAGGCUACUGAAUGUGAACAUUCAUGAUUUAAAGUUUUAUCUGGCUACUUUGAGAUGCUCGGUGCCCUGUUUUCAGAUAGCAUAGCAGUUCAGAGGCAGGAAACUAGCCAUAGCCAUGUACUCAGAUAGCAUAGUGCUUCGGAGGUAGAUAACUCCAAGAUAAGGCUAGGUAGUAUUUUUCUUUUGGGUGGGAGAAGGCUAGGUAGUGGUAGCUUUAAUAGUAGAGAUUAGUAUCUUAAUCCAUUGCACAGUGUCAGGUUAUUUGUUUCUUGAUGACAUAGAGGAUGGAUGUAUAAUUGAGGUAUCACAAUAUUUAUGGUGAUCACAAAUGUCUCUUGUAACACAGUGCAUUGUAUAUGAUUAUGUCAUCUGAUCUGUUUUCUCUUGACAUGGGUAAUUGCACCGCCAUCCUGAUCUUUCAAAAAAAAUAUAGAUCUAUGAUUGUGACUUGUGAGAGUAACCACACCAUGAACGGAAUAAAAGUGGCGUGACUAAAGUCAGUCAGACGGCAGAAACUUUAUCCCUACGAUAGCGGCAAUGAAUCUGGUCAACAAUUAUGAUUGUGCUUCAGUUUAUGCAUUUUAACAUUUUUAAAUGCUUUUGGGAGCGUUUAUAUAUGUUGGUUAUUGAUAUGAAGAGUAAGAGUGCCAAUAAUUAGUUAUGGUCUGACCAUGUAUCUAGGUAGCAAUUAUCUGAAUGUAAGACAGUAACCUGAAGAUGUGUUCUCGUUUUUUGCCUCGAUCAUAUUUUAUGCCUUUUUCCAAUAGCAGCCAUCUAUAGGCUGAUGUUUUAUUUUGCUACCAUUAGUUUGUAUUUUUUUUUAAUUACGUAUCUGGUCAACCUAAUAGAUCAUACAUUAAGUGGUGCAUCUUCAUUCCAAUCUGUUAUGUAGCAUGCUAUUUUUCUUUUCACUGAAAAGUUUUACUGGCAUCAAAAUAUUUCAUUUGU
Molecule: long non-coding RNA, 2339 nt
Filed under: Triticum aestivum (bread wheat)
Lineage: Eukaryota; Viridiplantae; Streptophyta; Magnoliopsida; Poales; Poaceae
Description: long non-coding RNA (TAES_LNC024510)
Source: RNAcentral